CGGGUGAGUAACACGUGGGUGACCUGCCCUUAGCUCUGGGAUAAGCCUGGGAAACUGGGUCUAAUACCGGAUAUGACUCCAUGACGCAUGUUGUGGGGUGGAAAGCCUUGUGCGGCUAGGGAUGGGCCCGCGGCUUAUCAGCUUGUUGGUGGGGUGAUGGCCUACCAAGGCGACGACGGGUAGCCGGCCUGAGAGGGCGACCGGCCACACUGGGACUGAGACACGGCCCAG
This 231-nucleotide ribosomal RNA is filed under the name uncultured bacterium. RNAcentral's name for it is "partial 16S ribosomal RNA". It matches the Rfam family "Bacterial small subunit ribosomal RNA", at positions 103 to 334 of the family's 1533-position model. The record is from RNAcentral.